GUUAUUUUGAAAUGUGACCAGGUGGAAAACUACACAGCAUAAGAAUUCUCAAGCAAGUGAAGGAAGAAUGGAUUAGCGUCCGUUUGCAUCUGAUUGCAGCUUUGACUCACCACUUGUUUUUGUGGAUUCCUUAUAACUUAUGCAGCAUAUCGCCAUUUAAACGAAUUUUGGUCUGUGGAUAAGCAAGCAAACAAGAUAAGAUAGGCAUGGCUUUUCUUGCUUUUCC
This 226-nucleotide long non-coding RNA is filed under the name Salvator merianae (Argentine black and white tegu). RNAcentral describes it as "lncRNA (ENSSMRG00000014969.1)". Lineage: Eukaryota; Metazoa; Chordata; Lepidosauria; Squamata; Teiidae. The record is from RNAcentral.